This 497-nucleotide ribosomal RNA is filed under the name uncultured bacterium. RNAcentral describes it as "partial 16S ribosomal RNA". It matches the Rfam family "Bacterial small subunit ribosomal RNA", at positions 28 to 507 of the family's 1533-position model. The record is from RNAcentral.
GAUGAACGCUGGCGGCGUGCCUAAUACAUGCAAGUCGAGCGAACAGACGAGGAGCUUGCUCCUCUGACGUUAGCGGCGGACGGGUGAGUAACACGUGGAUAACCUACCUAUAAGACUGGGAUAACUUCGGGAAACCGGAGCUAAUACCGGAUAAUAUAUUGAACCGCAUGGUUCAAUAGUGAAAGACGGUUUUGCUGUCACUUAUAGAUGGAUCCGCGCCGCAUUAGCUAGUUGGUAAGGUAACGGCUUACCAAGGCGACGAUGCGUAGCCGACCUGAGAGAGGGAUCGGCCACACUGGAACUGAGACACGGUCCAGACUCCUACGGGAGGCAGCAGUAGGGAAUCUUCCGCAAUGGGCGAAAGCCUGACGGAGCAACGCCGCGUGAGUGAUGAAGGUCUUCGGAUCGUAAAACUCUGUUAUUAGGGAAGAACAAAUGUGUAAGUAACUAUGCACGUCUUGACGGUACCUAAUCAGAAAGCCACGGCUAACUACGUG